UACAUACUGCGGACGAUUAAAGGAGCAAUGCCAAUAACAUAAUAUACCUAGCGCAUUGUUCUUAAAUAUUUGAGAGUAUAUACAGUACAUCCGAGAAUUUUUUUUUUAACAAAGUGUCGAGAGUAUAAAGCGCAUGCAUAGCGUAUAGUCCAGACAAUUGUGAAUUAGGCCAACGAUAUAGUACGUCAUAUUUGGCUUAAAUACGACCGAAGGGUAGAGCGGAAAAAGAGGCGUUUUAAUAACCAAACGCCCCCCCCCCCCCCNCCCCCCCCCUGUCUACUCGUCUGCUCUUAAACUCAGCGAACGGUCGCCAAGCUAACUCCGU
Cinara cedri is the source of this 325-nucleotide non-coding RNA. Lineage: Eukaryota; Metazoa; Arthropoda; Insecta; Hemiptera; Aphididae. The record is from the annotation of a GenBank genome assembly.